RNAcentral lists this microRNA precursor (115 nucleotides) under Hordeum vulgare. RNAcentral describes it as "microRNA MIR1122". It matches the Rfam family "MIR1120/MIR1122 microRNA precursor family". Lineage: Eukaryota; Viridiplantae; Streptophyta; Magnoliopsida; Poales; Poaceae. The record is from RNAcentral.
UUUAUACUCCCUCCGUCUCAAAAUAAGUGACUUCAAAAUGACUCAAAUCUACACUAACUUUAGUACAAAGUGAGUCAUUUUUGAGUCACUUAUUUUGGGACGGAGGGAGUACAAG